UACGAAGGGGGCUAGCGUUGCUCGGAAUUACUGGGCGUAAAGCGCACGUAGGUGGCUUUUUAAGUCGGGGGUGAAAUCCUGGAGCUCAACUCCAGAACUGCCCUCGAUACUGGGAAGCUUGAGUUCGGGAGAGGUGAGUGGAACUGCGAGUGUAGAGGUGAAAUUCGUAGAUAUUCGCAAGAACACCAGUGGCGAAGGCGGCUCACUGGCCCGGUACUGACGCUGAGGUGCGAAAGCGUGGGGAGCAAACAGG
This 253-nucleotide ribosomal RNA is filed under the name uncultured bacterium. RNAcentral's name for it is "partial 16S ribosomal RNA". It matches the Rfam family "Bacterial small subunit ribosomal RNA", at positions 524 to 776 of the family's 1533-position model. The record is from RNAcentral.